AUUGAACGCUGGCGGAAUGCUUUACACAUGCAAGCCGAACGGCAGCACGGACUUCGGUCUGGUGGCGAGUGGCGAACGGGUGAGUAAUGUAUCGGAACGUGCCCAGUCGUGGGGGAUAACGUAGUGAAAAUUACGCUAAUACCGCAUACGAUCUAUGGAUGAAAGCGGGGGAUCGCAAGACCUCGCGCGAUUGGAGCGGCCGAUAUCAGAUUAGGUAGUUGGUGGGGUAAAGGCCCACCAAGCCAACGAUCUGUAGCUGGUCUGAGAGGACGACCAGCCACAAUGGAACUGAGACACGGUCCAGACUCCUACGGGAGGCAGCAGUGGGGAAUUUUGGACAAUGGGCGAAAGCCUGAUCCAGCCAUUCCGCGUGCAGGAUGAAGGCCCUCGGGUUGUAAACUGCUUUUGUACAGAACGAAAAGGUUUCUACUAAUACUAGGAGCUCAUGACGGUACUGUAAGAAUAAGCACCGGCUAACUACGUGCCAGCCGCCGCAGUAA
Molecule: ribosomal RNA, 500 nt
Filed under: uncultured bacterium
Lineage: Bacteria
Description: partial 16S ribosomal RNA
Rfam family: Bacterial small subunit ribosomal RNA
Source: RNAcentral